CAGUAGCCACGGUAAUACAGAGGAUGCAAGCGUUAAUCGGAAUUACUGGGCGUAAAGCGUGCGCAGGCGGUUAUAUAAGUCAGAUGUGAAAUCCCCGGGCUCAACCUGGGAACUGCAUUUGAGACUGUAUGGCUAGAGUGUGUCAGAGGGGGGUAGAAUUCCACGUGUAGCAGUGAAAUGCGUAGAUAUGUGGAGGAAUACCGAUGGCGAAGGCAGCCCCCUGGGAUAACACUGACGCUCAUGCACGAAAGCGUGGGGAGCAAACAGGAUUAGAUACCCCCGUAGUCCCUGUCUCUUAUAA
Molecule: ribosomal RNA, 301 nt
Filed under: uncultured bacterium
Lineage: Bacteria
Description: partial 16S ribosomal RNA
Rfam family: Bacterial small subunit ribosomal RNA
Source: RNAcentral